This 273-nucleotide ribosomal RNA is filed under the name uncultured eukaryote. Its description in RNAcentral is "partial large subunit ribosomal RNA". It matches the Rfam family "Bacterial large subunit ribosomal RNA", at positions 2206 to 2478 of the family's 2925-position model. The record is from RNAcentral.
UUGUAAAGCUAGAAUUCUAACCUUACACCGUUAUCCGGUUAAGGAACAUUCUCUGGUGGGCAGUUUGACUGGGGCGGUCGCCUCCUAAAAGGUAACGGAGGCGCACAAAGGUUUCCUCAGAUCGGUCAGAAAUCGAUCGUAGAGCGUAAAGGCAUAAGGAAGCUUGACUGCGAGACUUACAAGUCGAGCAGAGACGAAAGUCGGUCUUAUUGAUCUGACGGUUCCGAGUGGAAGGGCCGUCACUCAACGGAUAAAAGUUACUCUAGGGAUAAC